This 468-nucleotide ribosomal RNA is filed under the name uncultured bacterium. RNAcentral's name for it is "partial 16S ribosomal RNA". It matches the Rfam family "Bacterial small subunit ribosomal RNA", at positions 28 to 507 of the family's 1533-position model. The record is from RNAcentral.
GACGAACGCUGGCGGCGUGCUUAACACAUGCAAGUCGAACGGAAAGGCCCUGCUUUUGUGGGGUGCUCGAGUGGCGAACGGGUGAGUAACACGUGAGUAACCUGCCCUUGACUUUGGGAUAACUUCAGGAAACUGGGGCUAAUACCGGAUAGGAGCUCCUGCUGCAUGUUGGGGGUUGGAAAGUUUCGGCGGUUGGGGAUGGACUCGCGGCUUAUCAGCUUGUUGGUGGGGUAGUGGCUUACCAAGGCUUUGACGGGUAGCCGGCCUGAGAGGGUGACCGGGCACAUUGGGACUGAGGUACGGCCCAGACUCCUACGGGAGGCAGCAGUGGGGAAUAUUGCACAAUGGGCGGAAGCCUGAUGCAGCAACGCCGCGUGCGUGAUGACGGCCUUCGGGUUGUAAACCGCUUUCGCCUGUGACGAAGCGUGAGUGACGGUAAUGGGUAAAGAAGCACCGGCUAACUACGUG